GUGGGGAAUAUUGGACAAUGGGCGCAAGCCUGAUCCAGCCAUGCCGCGUGAGUGAUGAAGGCCUUAGGGUUGUAAAGCUCUUUCAGUGGGGACGAUAAUGACGGUACCCACAGAAGAAGCCCCGGCUAACUUCGUGCCAGCAGCCGCGGUAAUACGAAGGGGGCUAGCGUUGUUCGGAUUUACUGGGCGUAAAGCGCACGUAGGCGGAUCGUUAAGUCGGGGGUGAAAUCCUGGAGCUCAACUCCAGAACUGCCUUCGAUACUGGCGAUCUUGAGUCCGGAAGAGGUGAGUGGAACUCCUAGUGUAGAGGUGGAAUUCGUAGAUAUUAGGAAGAACACCAGUGGCGAAGGCGGCUCACUGGUCCGGUACUGACGCCGAGGUGCGAAAGCGUGGGGAGCAAACAGGAUUAGAAACCCCGGUAGUCC
This 425-nucleotide ribosomal RNA is filed under the name uncultured bacterium. RNAcentral's name for it is "bacterial SSU rRNA". It matches the Rfam family "Bacterial small subunit ribosomal RNA", at positions 354 to 796 of the family's 1533-position model. The record is from RNAcentral.